GAUCAUGGCUCAGGAUGAACGCUGGCGGCGUGCCUAACACAUGCAAGUCGAGCGAAGCACUUUGCUUAGAUUCUUCGGAUGAAGAGGAUUGUGACUGAGCGGCGACGGGUGAGUAACGCGUGGGUAACCUGCCUCAUACAGGGGGAUAACAGUUAGAAAUGACUGCUAAUACCGCAUAAGACCACAGCACCGCAUGGUNCGGGGGUAAAAACUCCGGUGGUAUGAGAUGGACCCG
RNAcentral lists this ribosomal RNA (235 nucleotides) under uncultured bacterium. RNAcentral's name for it is "partial 16S ribosomal RNA". It matches the Rfam family "Bacterial small subunit ribosomal RNA", at positions 15 to 233 of the family's 1533-position model. The record is from RNAcentral.